Trichosporon asahii var. asahii CBS 2479 is the source of this 107-nucleotide non-coding RNA. NCBI's taxonomy places the organism in Eukaryota, Fungi, Basidiomycota, Tremellomycetes, Trichosporonales, Trichosporonaceae. The record is from the annotation of a RefSeq genome assembly.
GGUCGCGUGGCCCAAUGGCAAGGCGUCUGACUACGACUCGAUCGCUGAGAUCAUCUCGGGGAUUCAAGUACAUCAGGAGAUUGCGGGUUCGAUCCCCGUCGUGACCU